This 253-nucleotide ribosomal RNA is filed under the name uncultured bacterium. RNAcentral's name for it is "partial 16S ribosomal RNA". It matches the Rfam family "Bacterial small subunit ribosomal RNA", at positions 524 to 776 of the family's 1533-position model. The record is from RNAcentral.
GACAGGGGGUGCAAACGUUGCUCGGAAUCACUGGGCGUAAAGGGCGUGUAGGCGGGAAGGAUAGUCAGAUGUGAAAUCCCCAGGCUCAACCUGGGAACUGCAUUUGAAACUCCCUUUCUUGAGUAUCGGAGAGGAAAGCGGAAUUCCUGGUGUAGAGGUGAAAUUCGUAGAUAUCAGGAGGAACACCAGUGGCGAAGGCGGCUUUCUGGACGGUUACUGACGCUGAGACGCGAAAGCGUGGGGAGCAAACAGG